RNAcentral lists this unclassified non-coding RNA (418 nucleotides) under air metagenome. Its description in RNAcentral is "partial contains small subunit ribosomal RNA, internal transcribed spacer 1, and 5.8S ribosomal RNA". The stretch from base 1 to 46 matches the Rfam family "Eukaryotic small subunit ribosomal RNA", at positions 1786 to 1831 of the family's 1831-position model. The record is from RNAcentral.
AAGUCGUAACAAGGUUUCCGUAGGUGAACCUGCGGAAGGAUCAUUAUUGAAUACUGAAUCGGUUCUGAUGCUGGCUCUUCACUGGGCAUGUGCUCGUCCGUUCAUAUUUACCUUCUCUUGUGCACAUUUUGUAGUCCUUUGGAACAAGUGAAUUUCGCGCUGCUGUGAUUAACUUCGCGGUGGUUGCGGUUUGGGGGAUUGGGUGUAACAGCCCUUCCUCUGUUUAUGCGCGUUGCUGCGAUUUACUUCGUGGUGACUGCGGUUCGGGGGUUGAGCGUCAGCACUUCCCCUGCCUUUGCUUUUUUCCAAGGCUAUGUUUUCAUAUACCCUAUACAAUGUUACAGAAUGUCUUUAACGAUUGUGCUUGGUCGCAGUCAUUAAACCUAUACAACUUUCAGCAACGGAUCUCUUGGCUCUC